AUGGCGGACAUUGAUAUUGAUCCGUUUGGUGACCACGACCAACCCGACGAGGGUACCGAUGACUCCACACCUCUGGUACCGAGGGAGCGCACGCGCGUGCAGAUACACACACCUGAUGAAAAGGAGACAUCAUUCGGUGGAGGCUCCACUCAACGUACCAGAGUUUUGCGGGAAAUGGUUGAUGUGUUGUAUGAUAGAUUAUCUGAAGGAUCCCUGUCAAAACCUGAGGUGCUACAUACAGACCUUUUUGAAAUUAAGGAUGGUGAAUUAUACUACAGAGAUAAAAACGAACCUUUGACAAACAAUGGAAGACUAAGGGCCACCGGUACUAUAUCAGAUAUAUUAGGCAAGAGAAGGCUGCGUAAUUUAGGCUUUGACAUACCAAAAGGUAAGAUUACAGCCCGACAAGCUGCUAAGCUAAACAAAAUACAAGAAGAAUUACCCUCGUCAUCUAAAAUAACAACAGCAAGUGAUGUAGAAUUAGAAGCCAUAUCCGGGGAUGUGGUAAACAGUACGGAAGAUUUAAUUUCAUUGGUCAAACAAUCUGUAGACCAUGAAGCAACCCAGACCGGUGAUCUAUUUGAAUAUCCUAUGCGUGAAUUGCUAGGAUUGGAUAGAUCAUUGAGAAACAUAAGAGGAAGUCUUCAGGAUGAAGUUGCAAAAAAGGUUCAGCUCGAACAGCAUAUUGACAGAGAAAAAAACAAGUUGGAAGAGAUGGAAAACACACCAAAUAUGACCGAGGAACAACAAAAUGAAGCGAAAGAAAGGUUGAAAGGUUUGCAAAAUGAGUUGAAAGGCCGGCAAGAGAUUAUCGAUAUUCUCAAAGGUAAACUUAACAGUCAAAUAAAAAGCAUCAGGGAGACGAUUACAAAAGUACUUGACAAAGAAACUACAUUGGGUGAAAAGAUACGAACCCUAUUCCGUGAGCAGGGUAUCACUGUUGUCAGCGUACUAACGGCAUUUGGUAUGGUUAUCGGCCUUCUAGUAGAAGCUUUGACACCAGGGGGUGGGGGGUCAUCCACCGGUAAUACAAAAAAUCAUGAAAAAACCGAAGGUGGUGCGAGGGAAUGGAUAAAGAACAAGCUGAGCGCACUAGGAUCUCUCCUGGGUAGAUUAGCCAGUGCCGCAGCCGCAUCACUACCUGGUAUAAUUGGAUCCAUCGUAUCGUGGAUCCUAAAUAGAGCAAAGGAGGCCGUCGGUUGGUUGAGUCAAAACCUGUGGGCUUUGAUAGUCGGAAUCGGAGGUCUGAUGUACACCUACAUGGUGACAAAACGUUAGUGGAAUCUGGAAUAUAUGUUACAUGACACAUGUAACAUAAUACCCGCGGCAUGGUACUAUUUUUCGAAAUACCACACGGCACUCCCGACACCAAUCAUGCUUAGCGCGAUAAAUGCCAAUUCCCUCUCAUGCUGGUCAUUGCUGGGUGUAUAAAAGUCGCUCAAUACGGGUUUGCGCGGAAUAUCUGUGAGAGGUGAUCCUCCAAAUACUUUUUUAUAUUCCCGCAUCGCGUCAUCCAGCUCCGUGAAUUUACCCUCGGCCUUCUUCUCAAGUCUGAGCUGCUUAUUAAUAAAGUCAACCCUCUCCUGUCUUUUACGUUGCCAUAUAACCUGAGCCUUCUGCAGUUGUUCUAUGGCUAGAUCAUGCCGCUUCCGUUCCUUAUCUAUCCUAUCCUUUGAUAAACUUGAAAAGAGGUAGCUUGAUCCGGUAAAGGCCAAAGCGUUCGCGAAGGCACCUCCCAACAUCAUUGCAAUUGAAGCCAUGUUUAUAUAAUCCGAUAUAAUAUGGUGGCGUUAUUUUAAUGCGAUAGCCUCGGAGGCUAUGACAUCAGAGUCGUCUAUGACCUCGGUAUCCACCUCGGUGUAUUCCACCUUGGGUAAAAUACUCUCAACUUUCUUACGUCGAUAUAAAACCCAGACCAACCAUUCCAGUAUUCGCAACAUUAUAUAUUUAUAGUUUCAGGUAUAAUUUUUUGCUUAACUAGAUAUUCUCUUGUCAUCUCACUUGCGGCGACUAUGGCUACAAGCUUUCCUGUAUCUUCCAGGUCAAACUUCUGAAUUGAGGGUGGUGUCAUUUUUAAUACCUUUUUCCCGAGCAUUGAAUAGCCUACAGCGAAAACGCAUACGACCGAUGCCUUAUAAAUAUCGUUGACUAUACUUUUCUUAUCCAUGUCUUAUAUUUACUUCAAGAUUAUAGUAUCGCGAUAUUAUCCCUUUAUUCCAUUUCAAGCUUACUUAUUCUCACGGUUUUUUUAGGAUCGGAGGGUGGUGGGGUACCCUUCACCUUAAUAUUUUUGUCCUUAUUUUUAUACACGAAAUAAGCACCAAUUAAGACUAGUACUAUCACUCCUCCCCCCAUUAUGGUGUAGUUCAUGGGCCCUCCAUCUGGUUUAUGGCCUUCGGUCAUAGAAUCCACAUCUAUUACAAUAUCAUUUGAAUCUUCGGGCUGUGUUUGUGCUUGAGGCGUCGGCUGUGUUUGUGCUUGAGGCGUAGGCUGUGCUUGAUUCUGUACCAUGAGCCAUUUUUUAUAUUCCUCCCUCUUUUUACGGUUGUAUUCCGCCAACCUCUUACCAGAUUCAACCUUUUUAGGGUUCUUCGUUGUCACCUGAAUAGGGGUCUGUUCCUCUGACAUCUUUAUUAUCUAUAUCUAUAUUAUUAUUUGCGUUUAAAUUUCUUCCAGCGAUAUAAUGCCUACCUGUAAUUAGACCCACACUGAUUGGUGAUAAGAAUGAGCCGAAUCUAUAAUACAAAUCGCACGUGAACCUUUGAAGGGCGGAGUUUAGGAAUGGGUCAUUCUCCAGGUCAUCUCUCAAUGCAUCUUGAUUGUUUAUUCCUAAGACUGUACAGGCCCCCAUGGAAUACAUGUGAAUGAUUGAUUGCCCCAAAGACUUCACCAUUUGACCUGAUAGUUUAGCUUCAUAGAUACUAAAGAGUUUCUUUACCUCUUCAUCUUUGAGCUUUUGAAUUUGCUCGUCCGUAUACAUUUUACCCAGGUAUAGCUUGCUAUUUCCGGUUAACACACACUCGAGCAAUUUUUGCCUCUUGCCAUCAUCGGGUGUAGGACCCUGAAUAAAAAUUAAGUUGUCAAUUGCAGUUUCAGCCAUUUUCAAUAGCGAUAGGUAUUUUUUAACACAAAAAAAGCAAAAACUAAGUACUAAUACUAGUAGUAGUACUAAUAUUAUGAAAUUGAUAUAUUCUAUCAUGGUCCUAUAGGAGUCUAUAGGAGUCUAUAGGAGUAUUAUAGGAGUAUUAUAGGAGAGUCUUAUAGGAGUCUAUAGAUCUGUUAGAUACUUUUGUUACAAGAGUCUUGUAACAAAAAAAAAAACGUCCAAUCUAGCAAAUCACAUAAGUUCUUGGAUGUUCCAUUCUCAUGACUAAAUGUGUGUAUUUGCCAUCUUUUAGCCUUUCCUUAACCUUCUGGAUCUCUGACCGUGAUUCAAUGACAUCAUUCUCUUCAUGAAUAGUUGCGAGAUCUUGCCUGUCCUUCGGAUACCACACAUAUAACAUUUUCGCCUGCCUUCGUAAGUUCUUCGGUAUCGCGGUGUAUGAUUGUGUGAGUAGCCACAUGGUGUGGUUUCGAUGCCGACCGCUGAUGGCCAGCUCCAGCAGUGGUUGUCUCUUUUUGUCCAGUUUCUCAUCUGCGAUUAUAUCGUCGAUCAGGAAUAAUGUUUUGUAUCCCGCACAGAAAUCCGUCAUCUUUUGAAUCCAUUCGUACAACAUGCCCAUGGGCUCAAUUAGAAUCACAUAUCUAUCCCUCCAGAACCAUUUUCGACACAUAUAUGUCUUGUUCCAUCUUAAUGUUGGACAUAUAAUCACAAUGAAAUCGAAGUGAUCAAAGUAUUCACUCUCUAGUAGUGUUACAACGCGUUUAGAUUUUCCGCAGCCCGUGGGACCGACGAAUAGUGCCGUGUGGGGAUCUUUCAUGUAGUCCAUCUUAAUAUAGUACAUCCAUAAUUUCACCAUUUUGAAUAUUUAAUUGAGCAUCCAUGAUUAGAUAUAUGUAGGCGUUUAAGGAUCCCGCGGUUUCGGCCGUCUUUUCAACUUGCAGUGUGAUGCCCUCGCUCGCAUUUUCAAUCCGUCGGCCGGUCCCGUGCAGUGAGUUUUCAUCUAUGGUUCUGAAGUCCAGCCACAGGGCAUAUUUCGUGGUUAGGUAGUCCGCGACCUUCACGUCAUGUAGUUGCAGAUGUUUCUGUAUUUCACCGGCAUUGCCGUCCCUUUGCUUACCCUCUGCGAAAUACUUGCAUAUUUCACCAUAAUGCUCAAACGGUUGCAUCCCUUGAGCGAAAAGUUGGUUAGGCUUACCCUCAACUAUGGCGGAUACCUUUUUGAUCUUGGGAUUGUAGAACUUACCGGUAUCUCGUUUGUAAGCUUUCUCUUCCUCAAACAGAACCAAUAUACCCUUCAGAGACUUGCAUGGUGUAUUGAACGACCAAUUCCACGUUGUGUCUGACUUAUCCACCCUAAUUUGUCUAUGUCUCAAGAAUCUGUCAUAGAGCACGGCCAUGUUUUGGUAUUCAUUUGAGAUGAAUCUGGCGAGUGUGGGUUGUGUCACAAUCUCAUAUUCUAGAGAUAUGUUGGAGAUUUUGUAUUUGGCAUCCGGUGCCGGUGCUGUGGCAGAACCCGAAGGUUUGGUAGGUGUUGAUAAUACGACCCUGUCGUAACUGUUGAAUGUUAUCUCAUAACACAGCCUAUUACCUAAUCCGGCCUGAUAAUAUGGGAUCGUGCUAUCCAACAUUUCAAUAUCUAGUGGUAUGGUGAACUUAUUUUUGUAUGCAUCAUAAAUAGCCUUGUCCGCUACCUCCGAUGCGUCUUUAUCCGCAGCUCCAACUCUCAGUUUCAUACAGUUUUCUGUACACCCUUCAUCAAAGAUGAUACCUUGUCUUAUUGCAUUUCUUUUUUCAGACUUGGUUAGCCAUAAAUCUCUGUAGCACCCGAAAAGAUCAAAGUCAUCAAUGCUCAGAAUCUCGGUACCCUCGAACUUGAUGGCCAACUUUUUAACAAUUGCCCUCCCUAUGUUAGAUACUAAUGUUCUCUUCGUGUCGACUUUUGACUCGAGUUCAACGUCGAAACUUAUUUUCGAAGUACCGGGAACAAUGACAUCAUCGUUACCUAAAUUAGGGAACCUAAUCAGGAGUAACUGGUUCUGAUCAAUCUCACUUGGGUUGUGAGUGACAACUACUUUUUGAUGCGUUCCUUUUACGCCAUGUGCGGUUCUAAGUGAACGCUCUGGGUUUAACUUUUUCCCGUAUUCCAUGCUAUUCCAUAUUACUUUUAUUUUAUUUUACUUUAAUUCGGUUAAUGCUACGGUAUCAUCUGUCCGCCGUAUCUCUUAUGUGUAGGGUAACUGUUGUCUUCAUACCACCCCAUAGCACCUUACCAUCCUGACCUGUGACUCUCAUGAUAGUAAGAAACCGCUACCAACACCGAGACAAAUUCAAGAGGAGGUGAUUGAAUGCAGUACCACUUAUUCAACAAUACAAAGACCUGUGCCAGCACCGCGGCGUGCUAAAACGAUAAA
RNA transcript from Hydractinia symbiolongicarpus, 5514 nucleotides. RefSeq lists it as uncharacterized. Lineage: Eukaryota; Metazoa; Cnidaria; Hydrozoa; Anthoathecata; Hydractiniidae. The transcript has 4 exons. The record is from RefSeq and is a predicted model, not a curated record.